This is a non-coding RNA of Heterocephalus glaber (naked mole-rat), 3906 nucleotides long. Lineage: Eukaryota; Metazoa; Chordata; Mammalia; Rodentia; Bathyergidae. The record is from RefSeq and is a predicted model, not a curated record.
GAGCUAAAUCCCUGGCCCCUGUCAGUGUAUAUUUUCAAGAACAAAGAUAUUCUCUUCUACAACCACAGUGCAAUGAUCAAAACAAGAAAUUUAGUGGAUAUACUGUGAUUAGUUACAGAUUUUAGGGUGUCCUUUUACACCAUUCUUGUGUGUGUAUGUACAAAACACUAAGAUGGUGCCAAAGUCAAAUUCUACACAAAGAUAGACUCAGAAAAACAUGUUAGAUGACAGACAGAUAAUUGAACCCAGGGUCUUUGCAGUUAGCUACACCCCCAGCUCUUUUUUUAAAUUUUUGAGGAGGGUCUUGCUAAGCCACUAGCCCAGGAUGGAGACCUCCUGCCUCAGCCUCCCUGAGUGCUGGGAUUACAGUUGUGCACCACCACGCUGCCUCAUGGUGUCCUCCUUCCUAUGUUCAUGACUUCGGACCUGGAUCCACUGGUUCAUUCUCCCUAGAUUCGGUGCCUGCCUGUUCUCCCUUCCUACCCACACUCAAGCACAUACACUGCACAGUGGAGUGUAUCCCCACGUCGUGGUGCUGGGUAUUGAACCCAGGCCUUCUUGCAUGUGGCUCCACUGAGCUACACCCUCCUCUUCUCUCAUUUUUAAACAACAAAGUUAAUUUUUGCACAACAUGUCCUUCAAUGAGCCCCAAUCCUAUUGUAUGAAAGCAGGGUUUCCUUACCAAGACCAAGCAAUCUGGUUUUCUGUUUUUAAUUAAAUGCAAGACAAAAACAACACAUGAAUCACUUCCUCUACAGGACAGGGACUGCAAGUAGACACUCACUGUCCAGAUCUAGGGUCAGCUGCACUCUGCCAGCCCCAUUUCCUCAGGAUGUGUAUCUUUCUGCGCUUCUAGAUCCUUCUGGAACAGUCACCAGCUGCCUCUUCCUCACAGACCAGGUGGUGUGGUAAUGGGGUGACCUGGACUGAGACUUUUUACAAAGGCUGGCUAAGGUUUUCACUAUCAACAGUUUGAAGUUCCUGACGUUGGUUUCAAAUACUUAAGGAAUCUAGCUUUGUUAGUAAACAAAAAUUUUAGCUUUAUAAAAUAUUGAUAAUUUCCUUUCCUUUCCCUUCAGUGUCUAUUUCAAAGGCCUGUACCCAUAAUCAUUUAAUACUUUGGAAGAAAGGUUCUGGUCAUUUUUUCUUAUAAAGGCUUUCAUCAAUGGGUACUAAGUGCCUGCAGUAUAUCAGGCACUGUGCUAAAGAUCGGGGACAUCAGUGAUCAAGACUGAUAAAAAGAAACUUGUUGGCCUUUGGAACUUAUGUUCUAAUAGGUAGAGACAAAGUUUUAAAGAACCCACAAAAACAGCUAAAUUAUGUAGUUUGUUGCAAGAUGCUAAGUGCUGGCAAAGAUAUAGAUUAAGGGAGAAUGAGAAUACAACAUUGGUAGUGGAGAUAGUUGUAAUUUUAAAUAUUUCAGAGGGCUAAAAUAGAGUGCUUUCCUAACAUGUGUGAGGCCUUGGAUUCAAUCUCCAGGAUAUUAAAAAAAAUUAAAAUAUGUCAAGUCCAGCCUUUUAAUUUUUUAAAAUUGUCAAAGGUGGCAAUCAUACAGCUAUUCGGGGAAGGGGCACUGCAGGAAGAGGGAACAGCCAGUGUAGUAGAUGUGUAAAAGGCUGGAAUGUACCUGGCUUGUGAAGGCAAAAACACUUGUGGUAGAUUGGGAGUGUUAUGGGGAUGUAUACGGCAGUGAUGGCGAACUUUCAGUGAUAACAGUCAGCUGCAGCACGAGUGCCAUAGGUUCUCCACACCUGGUACUGUGCUUUCUGAGGCCAUUACAAGGACUUUAUUCUGAUUGAAAUGGAGAACAGCUGAGGAAUUGGGUUAGAGACGUCACAUGAUCUGACGGGUUCAGAAGGGGUUGCUAUGACGUGUCCCCUCUAAAAUUCAUGUUGAAAUGUAAUUGCCAAAGCUGUAACAAUUUCAAAGGUAGAACCUUUAAGAGGCAGGCCAUGAGAGCUCCACUCGCAGGUGGGGCUGGUGCCCUUAUAAAAGGAUGAGUUUGGCCCCUUUGCCCUUCUGCCAACGUAGUAAGAAGGUCCACACUGAUGCAGGACCCUUAACACCAGGCUUCUCAGCCCCAGGACUAUAAAUCAACAAAUAUUUAUUAGAAAUUACCUAAUCCAUGCUGUUUUCAUAACAACACAAAACAAACUAAGGUGUAGGGACGUAGGGAGGGCAAAGGUGGAAGUCUCGGGACUAAUUAGGACACCGUUACAGUACUGUGGUAGAGAGAUGUUGGUGGUCUAGACCAGAAUGGUUACAGAGGAACUAGCAAAAAAGAACGUGAUUGGGCCUGGGAUUUAGCUCAGUGGUUCUGCCGCCUGCCUUGCAAGCGCAAGGAUCCAAGUUUGAUGCCCGGUACCAAAAAAAAAAAGAGAAUGUGAUUCUGUAUGGUAAAUUGAUAGAAUUUCCUGGUGGGCUGGAAUGUGGACUAUGAAAAAGGACUCCAAGCUGAAGGCUUUUGGGUUGAGCAAUUUGAAAACUGGAGUUGCUGUCAACUGAGGUAAGGAAGAUUAUGCGCAGAGGCUUUAUGGGGAAAGAUCGGGAGUUCCAUUUGGAGUUUGUUCAGUUUGAUACAUCUAUUAGGGAUCUAAGUGGAAUCAACAGAUCAGUGUGUCUACUGUCAAGAGGAACAGGAGCUGGAGCUCUAAAACUGGGAGUUGACAGUAUGAUGCCAUAUAUGUGAUCACCCAGAGAAUGAGAGUGGAUAAUGAAGACAACCCAGGGCAUACAGUACUUAUCCCGGGAUACCUUUGAGGUGUAGGAAAAGCAAAGGAGACCAGGACUGUCUAAAGGGAUAGCAACCUCUUCACCACCUCAGUUCUGUAAGCCAAGCAAAGAAAGUGAGUUAAGGCAGAGGACGUUAGGCUUUCCAUCUAGAUGUCCCCCCAAAGCCUCAUGCACUCAUAGGUGGGGCUUUUGGGAGUGACUGGCUCAUGGGGGUGCCACACUGGUUUAGGCCGCUGGUGGGUUUAUAGCUAGGUGUGAUGCUGGGAGGAGAAUCCUGGUGAGAGGAGGUGGGUCACUGGGGGCGUGCCCUGAACUGUGUACUUUGUAUGCUUGUUCGCAAACUGAGUUGGAUGGGAACUGAAUCAAAUUCAGUAAUUAGGUUCAAUGUUGACCUUAUGGGAAAUUUGAUUCAGCUCUCAUCCAGUUCGGCUUGUGACCAGAAUCAUGGAGAGAACGGAGUUCGUGAACCCAGGUACCACAGAUACCUUCCUGCUCCCUCAACCCCUCUUGAUACUUCCUGCCUGCCAUGCCACCCUGCCUUGGAGCCAGCCUGUGGAUUGAAACCUCUACAAACUGUGAGCCCAAACAAACCCUUCCUCCUCUAAAUUGUCAUCGGAUUUUGUCUCAGUGGAGAAAGUAAGACAGAGGGUGUGAUCAGAUGUGUCGAAAGCUACCAAUUCAGGGGAUUGAACUCCGGUCCUUGCGCUUGCGCAGCAGGCGGCGAAACCACUGAACUAAAUCCCCUGCCCCACUAACUACUUUCUCAUGCUGAUCUCACUACAUAAAGACUACAGAAUAGAGGCAAACACUGUGAAGUAUGGAGGAAAGCAGUCCCUUCCAAGGGCAUGGGGCGGCACCGUGUUGUUGUUUCCUGGGGACUCAGACUGGGGUAAUCACUGUUACUGUGCAUGGGGAAUCCUGGGUCUCUUACAAGCUUUAUUCUGGAAAGACUUUGAUAAGUUUUUUAUUUUUAUGUUGUGUUUUGUUUAUCCUUGGAGGGGAACCAGUACCAUGUUGAAAUAACUCUUCUGAGCAGAAAACCAAAAUCAUUAUGAACUGAACACACAUAAUCUUGGCUGAAAUAAUACCUUAGGCUUAAGGAAUGAUUUAAGGAUGUUUAUUUACAAGAUACAAAUGUUUAAUAUUUAAUAGGAAUUAAAGUGCUUAAUUUUA